Molecule: long non-coding RNA, 2768 nt
Filed under: Anneissia japonica
Lineage: Eukaryota; Metazoa; Echinodermata; Crinoidea; Comatulida; Comatulidae
Description: uncharacterized LOC117113502
Source: RNAcentral
UCUAAUAGAGGAAUUUGUAUCUAUAAAUCAUUUGUACUUGAGUCAGAAUGUUACCUGGCAGUUGGUGAUGUGAAAAAGGCAUUCAGGAUGUCUGAAGUUGAGAUUAAAAUUGGUACCAAAUGGGUUUACCUUCUUGAAGAUAAAGAUGGCUUUGCUAAGAUGAGAUUCAAAUCUGGAAGUACUUAUCAGCUGCAAGAUUGUCAUCAUUUUAUUCCAAGUACAAAUAAAUGAGGGUCACCAGAGAUCAAUUCUAUAGACAUUCUCCAGGAUUCAUAAAUUUUAACUAUAAUUGGUUGAAUAAUAAAGAUAAUAAUAUGUUAGAAUAAUAUAGCACUUUAUGCCAUCAAGGCUUCUAACUGCUUCUCAUUACUACCCCUGUCAUUGGAUCCUAUGGUUGUAGUGGUGGAACAAGGCAUAGAAUAAGAACUCUAAAUUGAAUUAAGCCAAGUGUAUAAUUUGGCUGUUACCCGGGUGUACUGGUUUAUACAGCCCAUGUGAGCGACUAACGGGAAUGGUUGGUACCAUUUUUUAGGUGUAGAUCAGACAUAAAGUGGAUUAGAUGAGACUAUUGACAAUAAACACCAAUGACAACCCACAAAAUUCCAAAGAAGACUUACUUCUAGCCGAGUCCUUGUGGUGGUGAUUGGCAGUACAAUCCCCUACACUCUCCAAAGAGUUUAGGCCUAUUGCAUUAUUUAUGUGCACUUGCGGAAUAUUGCAUAUAGGACAAACGGCUUACAAGUCGCAAUGUAAAGGGCUUUUAUUUUAGGUUGAUAUUGUGGGUGGAGUCAAGAAUAGUAAAGCAUUUGAAUUUGAUGUGUUUUUGCAUUUAACAGAUUUUAAAGAUGUUGAAAUAUGUGUGAUGACUUGUCCUGAACUAUAUAAAUCCAAUUACACUACAUAAUCAUAAUGUUACUAUUUGUUGAUAUACAAAAGCAUUGUUAAUAAUAAUGCAGUACAUAUUGUGUACGACAAAUAUAUAAAAUAUUCAAUUUCAACAAUAAUAAUUGUUUUCUGUUAUAUUUUGAUUAAGGAUUUUGUCCACUUGUUUUUUAAUGUAGAAUCGAUUAUGCUACAAUAAGAGUAAUAAUCUUAUCCUCUUUCAAGAGUAUAUGUUGAGUAUUGUUUAAAUAGAUUAAGUAUAAUUAUGACUUCAGUUGAUAAGGCCAUGUAAAAUAAAAUAAUUGGUUAGCAUCCCCACUCUACUAUCAAAAAGGCCACCGACCCGAUUUUUUUUUUUGAUUUUUUUUUUACAAUACACUCACAAACUCAAUUUAAUAUAGGUUUGUUUACCACCCGUCCCCACACUAGCCAGUCCACUUGCAGUUCUAUGCUCCACUGUUGUUCUAUAGGCCUAUACUGUAGCCACAUAUGGUAUCCAUGAUGCCUGUUGUGUUGAGGAGUGAAUGAUUAUGUCCUCUGUCAAGAGUAUAUGUUGAGUAUUGUUUAAAUAGAUUAAGUAUAAUUAUGACUUCAGUUGAUAAUCAUGUCGAAUAAGUGUGACCUUCAAUAUUAAAGUUUAUGCUACAGAGUGUUUUCUAGUAAACAGUUAGGUAUGUAGGUUUUAUAUAAUAUUGUACUUGCAUUUACUAUAAUAACAGUUUGCAACCUGUCAUUUAAAUUCAUGAAACAUGUAGUUCGUGUAUAUAAUUCAGUUGUUGAUCCCUAUUGUUUGAUCAUGGAGGAAUUAGUUUAUAUGUAUUUUAUUUAUUUAUUAUCCCAGCCAACAGCAAACAUAAAAUUCGCCACUUGCAGGAGGGAACACAAACAUCGAACGGAUACAUAAAUAUAGUAAACAUGAAGAAUACAAAAAAAAUAUAUAUAUAUACAAAAAAUAAUAAUAAUAAUAAUAAUAAUAAUAAUAACAAUGUGAUAAUAAUAUCAGAUUAAGUUUGCCUAAUAUAUAAAAUAUUUCUAACACUGUUAAAUUAUCACUAAAAAUAGCAAUAAUAUUGUCAUGGCAUUAAUUUUUUAUGCACUUAUCAUACUAUUAAUUCCUUUCCAGAUUAUCAAAUUUUCUUUUAAAAAAACUGUUGUAUGUCCAUAUAAAGUCAUGAUGUGCCUAUAUAUGGUCUUGAUGCGAUGUCAUCAUGCCCAUAUUUAGGCAUGUCACAUGUUUUUGUCUAUAAAAUUUGAUAGUCUGGACAGGGCUUUAGUCUGUUCAUUGUAUCAAAUGCAUAGUAAUGCAGCAGUAAUCAGCGCAUGGUGUGGACACACCUUAUUAUAUAGUUAACUAAUUUAUGUAAAUGUGCGUUGAAUUUAGGUCUGAUUGUGAGACAUAGCUUGGGACAUAGCAAUGGACUGACAGGGGUAUACAAUCGUCAUAAAGCCAUUUACAGUAUUAUGGUUCAAUCAAUCCAGACGGCUGUUUAUAGCAACAUGCCCUGUGUGAAAAAUAUUUUUAAAUGUUAGGUACUGGCAAUAUUCGAAACUUGAUAAGGUUUUAAUUAUAACAAAUAAAUGUAUUAGCAACAUUGGAAUGAUCAUCAAAAUAGUUACUGCAAAUCACAGUUAGGGGCAGCUAUAUCACAUCGUAUCAUUAUCAAGAAUGUCCUAAAGUGACCGUGCGAAAGAAAAGGGUUUGGAGGCCACUAUUUAAUUAAAUGUUCUGUAUAAUGUGGGCCCAUAUGCCUACUCAAGUCUCCAUUUCCAACAGUUAUUAAUAUACUGUACCAGAUAACUAAAAAGGUAAAACAUGGCAUUUUUGUUUUGUUAUUUUUAAAGAGAUGUUUCAUUAAAGCAAAUUGAAAUAUGUCUGGAAACUACAA